This is a long non-coding RNA of Hippocampus comes (tiger tail seahorse), 2137 nucleotides long. RefSeq lists it as uncharacterized. The record is from RefSeq and is a predicted model, not a curated record. Lineage: Eukaryota; Metazoa; Chordata; Actinopteri; Syngnathiformes; Syngnathidae. The transcript has 2 exons.
UUUUGCAUGUGAUGACUUGGCCAAGCUGAGCCAACAGAGGCCUGCCGGGUACAGUUCCAGUCAGGUGAUAUACAUAGCCAACAUUUACAUUUUUGCAAAUGUAUCUUCAUGUCCAUUUAUUUCAAACACCACUCAGGUCAAUGCAAAUGAAGUUCAACUUUUAUAGCCUCAUUCAGAAGGCAUCCAACGUUUGACCCUUGGAUAGUGAAAACCACAGCUGGGUUUCAUAAAAGAGGAGAGGAGAGGAGAGAUAGGUGCCUGAAGUUCCUGCUUGAAAUGGGCAGAUGGAAUAGGCUUACUGCUCAAACAUACCAAAAUCAUCUGCGUUGUUAUUUUUACUACGUUCCAUUAACAGCUACUUGAUUCAAUGCCAGUUACCACAGUUGUGUUCUGUACCAUCUGAAUAUGAAAGCCUGCCAAUCGCCUAUAAAUACACAGAUGUGUUUUCUCACAGCUUUCUCAUUCAACCCUCUCACAUUGUUUUAUUUUCGAUCAGGACUUUGCUUCUGGUCUAUUUUCAGGAACAUGGGAUUUAAUUCUGGAAAUGACCCCAAAGCAGCACGGUAGCAGAACUAAGAGGUGGGCUGGUCAAAAAAAAAAAAAAAGUUUGUGCUUACAGCGUCUGCAUUCCAUAAAUUCUUAACCCAACUUACCAGUCAUCAUUGUAAUCGUCAUUAUCAUCAUCAUCAUCAGUCUACUACCUUUAACCCGUCACUUAUCCCGGCAGUGUACUGCCGAGUCACGUGCAAGAAACGAAACAAAACCCUCAUCGGGAAAAAAAAAAAAAAAGAAGAAGCAGAGUCCAGACGAGAUCCUUUUAAGGAAGCAGUUUGGGUUCUUAACAACGGGUAAUCAAAUAGACUCGGGUCACCACUACAGCAAGUAUCUCAGAGAGCUCAUAAAAAAGGAAACUAAAUAAUUGUCUUCAAAUAAACCUUUUCAUUUGCAUGCAAGCAGGCAGUUUCAUUGUCAAAUAAUUCACUGAGCGAGCCAUAAUUCUGUUGUUGUUUAGAGAAGGAGCCCUCUAAAGACUUCCUUACUUUGAAAAAUUAGUUUCCUCCAACAUGGUGAUUAACUUUCAUCCAUAAACAGGAAGUUUAUUAUCUCCAGACUCGUGCAAUCAGUUCAAGCUAGCCGGAUGCGGAUGCUUGCGCAAAAGCGUUAAAAUGAUUCUGGUGCUAGAAGAGUCUUAUUUUUUGAAAGUUGCCUUCAAGUGCUAAUCUAACAGCGAACAGCUCUCAAAUGCAAGAGAAAGCAGCGGGGAGGGACGGCUUAAAAAGUGCAGUGUUUGUGUUUGAGACUCUUUCAUCCCGGUGAUGGAAGAAGGCUCCAGAUGCUUCCUGCAGCCGAUUUCGUCACUCCGCGCAAACGCCUUUGGCCACUUCUACUUAACUGUUGUCAUUGGAGACAUUAUUUAUGGGCCCAACCCAGAUAAAGCUGCAACACACAAAGCCAAUUAUACUAAAGUCAUUCUUCAAGAGCUCGCUCGGCUGGAUAUAAACAGAUGUCUCGUGUAUGCAUUUUUAUGUUCACUUUGCUGCAGACGUUGGCUAUUGACGCAGGAAGCGGAGGAUGAUGUUGACAUCUAAAAUAACAACCAUUAACGAAGAGAAGUGGGAAAUGACAACACGGUCACGGCCGUGUCUCAGGGAAGUGCCGCCAAGUGAUGAAGUAAUGGCAGCCUUUUGUCUUCCCUCUCCAUAGGAUAACUCGCUUGUGUUUCCUCUGCAGUGCAAGUUGGGGAAAACAUGGCGAGAGAAUCUCCUUCAUUGUGGUCAGACUUGGCCCCCCAUAACGUUUCCUUGCGGUGGCAUCGUGUGGUAAGGAGGCAGCCAAAAUCCUGCAGAACCAUUUUGCUCUGUAAGCGGAGCUGCCAAAGUCAACGAAUCAUCCAAUCGGCGCAGGUUUUGGGUUUCCUGUUUGUCUGUCAAGAGAAAACUGCCAGGUGCCAAUGACAUGGAACAUUUGAACACUCACUUGAAGGAGUGGAUAAAGGAUUUUAGGAUAGACUUGACUGACCGCCAAAAAUGAUGUAGCUGGUAAAUCUAUAGGUCACUGAUUCAACUUUUACUUUGCACUUCACAAUUUUGCCUUCUGAAUAGUGCUUUUAUUAAAAAAAAAAAAAAAAGCCAGAAAA